This 390-nucleotide ribosomal RNA is filed under the name uncultured bacterium. Its description in RNAcentral is "bacterial SSU rRNA". It matches the Rfam family "Bacterial small subunit ribosomal RNA", at positions 30 to 417 of the family's 1533-position model. The record is from RNAcentral.
AUUGAACGCUGGCGGCAUGCCUUACACAUGCAAGUCGAACGGCAGCACGGGAGCAAUCCUGGUGGCGAGUGGCGAACGGGUGAGUAAUAUAUCGGAACGUGCCCAGUCGUGGGGAUAACGUAGCGAAAGCUACGCUAAUACCGCAUACGAUCUAUGGAUGAAAGCGGGGGAUCGCAAGACCUCGCGCGAUUGGAGCGGCCGAUAUCAGAUUAGGUAGUUGGUGAGGUAAAGGCUCGCCAAGCCGACGAUCUGUAGCUGGUCUGAGAGGACGACCAGCCACACUGGGACUGAGACACGGGCCCCAGACUCCUACGGGAGGCAGCAGUGGGGGAAUUUUUGGACAAUGGGCGCAAGCCUGAUCCAGCAAUGCCGCGUGCAGGAUGAAGGCCU